This 412-nucleotide ribosomal RNA is filed under the name Pratylenchus penetrans. RNAcentral describes it as "eukaryotic LSU rRNA". It matches the Rfam family "Eukaryotic large subunit ribosomal RNA", at positions 565 to 941 of the family's 3401-position model. Lineage: Eukaryota; Metazoa; Nematoda; Chromadorea; Rhabditida; Pratylenchidae. The record is from RNAcentral.
CAUGCAACAUGUGCCUUCUGCCAAUUCGGUCCUGUGCGAGCUCACAAUCCCACUCUCGGCGUAAAAGUUGGUCAUCUAUCCGACCCGUCUUGAAACACGGACCAAGGAGUUUAUCGUGUGCGCAAGUCAUUGGGUGUUGAAAACUCAAAGGCGCAAUGAAAGUAAAGAAUCCGCAAGGAUACGACGUGUGAUCUGAGCAAUCACGAUUGCCUGGAGCAACAUGGCCCCAUUCUGGUCGCUUGCGACGGGGUGGAGGAAGAGCGUACGCGGUGAGACCCGAAAGAUGGUGAACUAUUCCUGAGCAGGAUGAACGCCACGAUGGAAAGCUCUGGUGGAAGUCCCGAAGCGAUUCCUGAACGUGCAAAUCCGAUCGUCUGACCUUGGGAUAGGGGCAAAAUACUCUCCCAGUUCC